GAUUCCUUCGGGAUGACGGUUUGGUGACUGAGUGGCGGACGGGUGAGUAACGCGUGGGGAACCUGCCCCAUACCGGGGGAUAACAGCCGGAAACGGCUGCUAAUACCGCAUAAGCGCACAGUACCGCAUGGUACGGUGUGAAAAACUCCGGUGGUAUGGGAUGGACCCGCGUCUGAUUAGCCAGUUGGCGGGGUAACGGCCCACCAAAGCGACGAUCAGUAGCCGGCCUGAGAGGGCGACCGGCCACAUUGGGACUGAGACACGGCCCAGACUCCUACGGGAGGCAGCAGUGGGGAAUAUUGCACAAUGGGGGAAACCCUGAUGCAGCGACGCCGCGUGAGUGAGGAAGUAUUUCGGUAUGUAAAGCUCUAUCAGCAGGGAAGAAGAAAUGACGGUACCUGACUAAGAAGCCCCGGCUAACUACGUGCCAGCAGCCGCGGUAAUACGUAGGGGGCAAGCGUUAUCCGGAUUUACUGGGUGUAAAGGGAGCGCAGGCGGCAUGAUAAGUCUGAUGUGAAAACCCAAGGCUCAACCAUGGGACUGCAUUGGAAACUGUCGUGCUGGAGUGUCGGAGAGGUAAGCGGAAUUCCUAGUGUAGCGGUGAAAUGCGUAGAUAUUAGGAGGAACACCAGUGGCGAAGGCGGCUUA
This 648-nucleotide ribosomal RNA is filed under the name uncultured Lachnospiraceae bacterium. RNAcentral describes it as "bacterial SSU rRNA". It matches the Rfam family "Bacterial small subunit ribosomal RNA", at positions 70 to 728 of the family's 1533-position model. The record is from RNAcentral. Lineage: Bacteria; Bacillati; Bacillota; Clostridia; Lachnospirales; Lachnospiraceae.